Salmo salar (Atlantic salmon) is the source of this 320-nucleotide non-coding RNA. Lineage: Eukaryota; Metazoa; Chordata; Actinopteri; Salmoniformes; Salmonidae. The record is from RefSeq and is a predicted model, not a curated record.
CAUGGGACCAAAUUGGUUGUUCCAGGUUUCCAUGCUGAUGGACAUGACUUGCCAUGUCAGGUACUUGAACAGGAUCAUUAAUAUUAUCAAUGAAAUUCAACACCCGAUAUGUGGAAGGUGCUGGACUGGCAGAUGGGGAGCAGAUGGAGAGGCUGUGGUCGUAUCUGAGGCGCUUUGGGAAGGUCACCAAAGAAAUGAGGCCGUCCCAUCUUAUUGACCUCCUGACUGAUGCACUUCUCCACCAUGGGAAAACGCCAGAGGCUACUGGACUCUCUGCCAUAGAGGGUUUCCCCAGCAACAGAAGUUGCAACAGAGGCAAA